This 375-nucleotide unclassified non-coding RNA is filed under the name soil metagenome. RNAcentral's name for it is "partial contains 5.8S ribosomal RNA, internal transcribed spacer 2, and large subunit ribosomal RNA". The stretch from base 1 to 120 matches the Rfam family "5.8S ribosomal RNA", at positions 35 to 154 of the family's 154-position model. The record is from RNAcentral.
GAUGAAGAACGCAGCGAAAUGCGAUAAGUAAUGUGAAUUGCAGAAUUCAGUGAAUCAUCGAAUCUUUGAACGCACAUUGCGCCCGCCAGUAUUCUGGCGGGCAUGUCUGUUCGAGCGUCAUUUCAACCCUCAAGACCCCUUCGGGGGACUUGGUGUUGGGGACCGGCACAGGGGCCUGCCUGCUUGUCUUGCAGCGCCCUCGCCGCCCCCGAAAUGAAUUGGCGGCCUCGUCGCGGCCUCCCCUGCGUAGUAGCACAACCUCGCAACGGGAACGUGACGGCGGCCACUGCCGUAAAACAACCCCAAUUUUAUUAGAGUUGACCUCGAAUCAGGUAGGAAUACCCGCUGAACUUAAGCAUAUCAAUAAGCGGAGGA